AACAGGGCUGCUUUAUUACACCAUCCAAACCAUCGUUAAAACGUCACAUUUUCACUGUGGUAGGUCGCUGCUUGACGCUUGUUGUUUCCCGCAGGAAAGGACAUUUAGGAGACAGCAGAAGGGAGAAGAAAGCCAACAGCAGACUGAACACCUGUAACCUUUUUCUGGUGUGUCAGACUGAAAGGUCUCAAACAUCCUGGGAAAGCUAAGACUCGAUUUAUGGCACCAAGAACAAAUGAAGUAAAUGUGGAAACUACGGAGCAAAUAAAAAAGGAAGAGCGCCAAGUCAGAGGAGGAAAAGAAGGCAAAGAGGGACAGAGACAGAGGCGCUCACCUUUAGAAUCAGACAGGGAGUGGCUCCGUCUGUCUGCUGGACGCUCAAACUUGCCAUCGAUGAAGAGACCCAGAGAGCGGGAAUGAUGAUCCAGCCAGGCCUGA
This is a long non-coding RNA of Acanthochromis polyacanthus (spiny chromis), 438 nucleotides long. RefSeq lists it as uncharacterized. The transcript has 3 exons. NCBI's taxonomy places the organism in Eukaryota, Metazoa, Chordata, Actinopteri, Pomacentridae. The record is from RefSeq and is a predicted model, not a curated record.